RNAcentral lists this ribosomal RNA (765 nucleotides) under uncultured Streptococcus sp. RNAcentral's name for it is "bacterial SSU rRNA". It matches the Rfam family "Bacterial small subunit ribosomal RNA", at positions 28 to 776 of the family's 1533-position model. The record is from RNAcentral. Lineage: Bacteria; Bacillati; Bacillota; Bacilli; Lactobacillales; Streptococcaceae.
GACGAACGCUGGCGGCGUGCCUAAUACAUGCAAGUAGAACGCUGAAGAGAGGAGCUUGCUCUUCUUGGAUGAGUUGCGAACGGGUGAGUAACGCGUAGGUAACCUGCCUUGUAGCGGGGGAUAACUAUUGGAAACGAUAGCUAAUACCGCAUAACAAUGGAUGACCCAUGUCAUUUAUUUGAAAGGGGCAAAUGCUCCACUACAAGAUGGACCUGCGUUGUAUUAGCUAGUAGGUGAGGUAACGGCUCACCUAGGCGACGAUACAUAGCCGACCUGAGAGGGUGAUCGGCCACACUAGGACUGAGACACGGCCCAGACUCCUACGGGAGGCAGCAGUAGGGAAUCUUCGGCAAUGGGGGCAACCCUGACCGAGCAACGCCGCGUGAGUGAAGAAGGUUUUCGGAUCGUAAAGCUCUGUUGUAAGUCAAGAACGAGUGUGAGAGUGGAAAGUUCACACUGUGACGGUAGCUUACCAGAAAGGGACGGCUAACUACGUGCCAGCAGCCGCGGUAAUACGUAGGUCCCGAGCGUUGUCCGGAUUUAUUGGGCGUAAAGCGAGCGCAGGCGGUUUGAUAAGUCUGAAGUUAAAGGCUGUGGCUCAACCAUAGUUCGCUUUGGAAACUGUCAAACUUGAGUGCAGAAGGGGAGAGUGGAAUUCCAUGUGUAGCGGUGAAAUGCGUAGAUAUAUGGAGGAACACCGGUGGCGAAAGCGGCUCUCUGGUCUGUAACUGACGCUGAGGCUCGAAAGCGUGGGGAGCGAACAGG